RNAcentral lists this ribosomal RNA (478 nucleotides) under uncultured bacterium. RNAcentral's name for it is "partial 16S ribosomal RNA". It matches the Rfam family "Bacterial small subunit ribosomal RNA", at positions 28 to 523 of the family's 1533-position model. The record is from RNAcentral.
GACGAACGCUGGCGGGGUGCUUAACACAUGCAAGUCGAACGGUAAGGCCCUUCGGGGUACACGAGUGGCGAACGGGUGAGUAACACGUGGGUGAUCUGCCCUGCACUUCGGGAUAAGCCUGGGACACUGGGUCUAAUACCGGAUAGGACUCCUGGCUUCAUGGUUGGGGGUGGAAAGCGUUGGCGGUGGGGGAUGGGCCCGCGGCCUAUCCGCUUGUUGGUGGGGGAAUGGCCUACCAAGGCGACGACGGGUAGCCGGCCUGAGAGGGUGACCGGUCACACUGGGACUGAGAUACGGCCCAGACUCCUACGGGAGGCAGCAGUGGGGAAUAUUGCACAAUGGGCGCAAGCCUGAUGCAGCGACGCCGCGUGAGGGAUGACGGCCUUCGGGUUGUAAACCUCUUUCAGCUAUGACGAAGCGCAAGUGACGGUAGUAGCAGAAGAAGGACCGGCCAACUACGUGCCAGCCGCCGCAGUAA